CUUCCGCCGGCGACCGGCGCACGGGUGAGUAACACGUAUGCAACCUGCCCCUGUCAGGGGGACAACCCGCCGAAAGGCGGGCUAAACCCGCGUACAUGCCACCGGGGCAUCCCGGAGGCAGGAAAGGCUUCGGCCGGACAGGGAUGGGCAUGCGGCGCAUUAGGCAGUAGGCGGGGUAACGGCCCACCUAACCGACGAUGUGUAGGGGUUCUGAGAGGAAGGUCCCCCACACUGGGACUGAGACACGGCCCAGACUCCUACGGAAGGCAGCAG
This 273-nucleotide ribosomal RNA is filed under the name uncultured bacterium. Its description in RNAcentral is "partial 16S ribosomal RNA". It matches the Rfam family "Bacterial small subunit ribosomal RNA", at positions 82 to 354 of the family's 1533-position model. The record is from RNAcentral.